CCUGGUAUACCACGCUGUAAACGAUGUCGACUUGGAGGUUGUGCCCUUGAGGCGUGGCUUCCGGAGCUAACGCGUUAAGUCGACCGCCUGGGGAGUACGGCCGCAAGGUUAAAACUCAAAUGAAUUGACGGGGGCCCGCACAAGCGGUGGAGCAUGUGGUUUAAUUCGAUGCAACGCGAAGAACCUUACCUACUCUUGACAUCCACGGAAUUCGCCAGAGAUGGCUUAGUGCCUUCGGGAACCGUGAGACAGGUGCUGCAUGGCUGUCGUCAGCUCGUGUUGUGAAAUGUUGGGUUAAGUCCCGCAACGAGCGCAACCCUUAUCCUUUGUUGCCAGCACGUAAUGGUGGGAACUCAAAGGAGACUGCCGGUGAUAAACCGGAGGAAGGUGGGGAUGACGUCAAGUCAUCAUGGCCCUUACGAGUAGGGCUACACACGUGCUACAAUGGCAUAUACAAAGAGAAGCGAACUCGCGAGAGCAAGCGGACCUCAUAAAGUAUGUCGUAGUCCGGAUUGGAGUCUGCAACUCGACUCCAUGAAGUCGGAAUCGCUAGUAAUCGUAGAUCAGAAUGCUACGGUGAAUACGUUCCCGGGCCUUGUACACACCGCCCGUCACACCAUGGGAGUGGGUUGCAAAAGAAGUAGGUAGCUUAACCU
This 656-nucleotide ribosomal RNA is filed under the name bacterium YG-64. RNAcentral describes it as "bacterial SSU rRNA". It matches the Rfam family "Bacterial small subunit ribosomal RNA", at positions 786 to 1441 of the family's 1533-position model. The record is from RNAcentral.